Prionailurus viverrinus (fishing cat) is the source of this 1407-nucleotide long non-coding RNA. RefSeq lists it as uncharacterized. Lineage: Eukaryota; Metazoa; Chordata; Mammalia; Carnivora; Felidae. The record is from RefSeq and is a predicted model, not a curated record. The transcript has 4 exons.
ACCCAUUCCACAAAAGGAAGGAGAGCACUGAAGGGGGAGGUCCAUGGGAAGAGUCAGGAGUGGCAGGAAAAGUGUCAGCGAGUAAAGCCAGCUAGAAAGAAGAAAGUGCUCUUAGGAAAAUCACACGGAAGAUAAAACACAUUUCCGGCGCUGGACUAUAAAAGCAUCCACAUAGAGAGACAGAGUGACCAGACCAACCAGAAGCGACUGCUGGCAGGUGGACGGACAGAAUGGAACCCGUCCGGGCACUUCUGAGCUGGGACUGUGGACACAGAGAGAGAGAAAAAGUGCAAGAAGGGAAGGCGCAAAGAGAGAGGGAGACACAGAACUGAAACAGGCUCCAGGCUCUGAGCUGUCAGCACGGAGACCCAAUGCGGAACUUGACCCGACAAACCUGGAGAUCAUGACCUGAGCCGAGGUCGGACGCUUAACCGGCUGAGCCACCCAGGCGCCCCACCUAAUUCACAUUUUUAUUUAUUUGGGAUUUAGGCUUUUCCCCCUAAAAAGACUUCAAGCAUUAAAUGACGUGGGAGACUUCAGGAUUAAAAAUAGAACAGAGGCCAUGCGGAGAUCUUACCUUGCGCCGGAGCCGACCCUCGGGUCCUCGAGUCGGUGUUGACUUUCAAGGGAGGUGAGGUCAAAGGAGAAGCACAGGGGCCUUCUGGGCCAGGAUUGGAGGGGGGGGGGUAACCGCGUGGCGAGCUACAGCCAGGCUGGGACCCGGAGGCUGCUUUUUGCAUUCCAGCCUCACAUUCCCAGGGGUUGUUACCUCAGUUUACAUACGUGGCAACAGAUUCAACGAAGCGAGCAUGGUGACCGCUGCCCCUCAGCUUGUUAAGUGGCAAAGCUGGGACCUCCCCCUUGCAUCCUUCCGUCUCCCUCCGGUGACAAACACGACUUUUAUUUUCUGGUCCAGCGGCCAUACCCACCUGUUGGCAGAGAGAAGGUUUUUUGUUUUUACCCCUUGAGCUUAAACACAUCAGAGUGUGCCAAAUGAGCCGGGACCACAAUGGGCCGUGGUUUCCACAAUAGUUGCGCAGGCCCCAGAGCAGGUGGGUGUGUGGCACACCGCGCCAGGGGUGGAGGGUAGAGAGCAAACUUCCUGGAGACGGGAGCGAAACUGGUUCAGUCCUAUUGUUUCCUAAUGAUUUCCUCCACUCUGGCCACACUGGCCUCCUUGACGUCCUCUAACAUACCAAACAUACUCCUACCCCCGGGCUUUUGCACCUGCUGUCCUUCUCCCUGGAACACGGUUCCUUGAUAACAUCAAGGCUCAUGUCAACCCCUCCUUCAAGUCUCUGCCCCAAAUGAGUCUUCAAGGCGCCUACCCUGACCUCUCGAUUUACAGUUGCAUCCGCUCUUCACCACAACCCGGAUCUCUCUCUUUUUUUUUUUUUUAUAAUUUUU